RNAcentral lists this ribosomal RNA (253 nucleotides) under uncultured archaeon. RNAcentral describes it as "partial 16S ribosomal RNA". It matches the Rfam family "Archaeal small subunit ribosomal RNA", at positions 474 to 727 of the family's 1478-position model. The record is from RNAcentral.
UACCGGCGCCUCAAGUGGUAGUCGAUUUUAUUGGGCCUAAAACGUCCGUAGCCUGUUCUGUAAGUUUUCGGUUAAAUCUAUGCGCUCAACGUAUAGGCUGCCGAAAAUACUGCAGAACUAGGGAGUGGGAGAGGUAGACGGUACUCGGUAGGAAGGGGUAAAAUCCUUUGAUCUAUUGAUGACCACCUGUGGCGAAGGCGGUCUACCAGAACACGUUCGACGGUGAGGGAUGAAAGCUGGGGGAGCAAACCGG